This 467-nucleotide ribosomal RNA is filed under the name uncultured bacterium. Its description in RNAcentral is "partial 16S ribosomal RNA". It matches the Rfam family "Bacterial small subunit ribosomal RNA", at positions 28 to 506 of the family's 1533-position model. The record is from RNAcentral.
GACGAACGCUGGCGGCGUGCUUAACACAUGCAAGUCGAACGGAAAGGCCCUGCUUUUGUGGGGUGCUCGAGUGGCGAACGGGUGAGUAACACGUGAGUAACCUGCCCUUGACUUUGGGAUAACUUCAGGAAACUGGGGCUAAUACCGGAUAGGAGCUCCUGCUGCAUGGUGGGGGUUGGAAAGUUUCGGCGGUUGGGGAUGGACUCGCGGCUUAUCAGCUUGUUGGUGGGGUAGUGGCUUACCAAGGCUUUGACGGGUAGCCGGCCUGAGAGGGUGACCGGCCAAAUUGGGAAUGGGAUACGGCCCAGACCCCUACGGGGGGCAGGGGUGGGGAAUUUUGCACAAUGGGCGGAAGCCUGAUGCAGCAACGCCGGGGGGGGGAUGACGGCCUUGGGGUUGAAAACCGCUUUCGCCUGUGACGAAGGGUGAGUGACGGUAAUGGGUAAAGAAGCACCGGCUAACUACGU